This 269-nucleotide ribosomal RNA is filed under the name uncultured bacterium. RNAcentral's name for it is "partial small subunit ribosomal RNA". It matches the Rfam family "Bacterial small subunit ribosomal RNA", at positions 26 to 287 of the family's 1533-position model. The record is from RNAcentral.
AGGACGAACGCUGGCGGCGUGCCUAACACAUGCAAGUCGAACGAGGUCCAACCGGUAGCAAUACCGGUGAAGAUCAAGUGGCGAACGGGUGAGUAGCACGUGAGCAACCUGCCCCGAAGACCGGGACAACACCGGGAAACCGGUGCUAAUACCGGAUAUCCCCACUGAGUCGCAUGGCUCGGUGAGGAAAUGGAUUCCGCUUCGGGAGGGGCUCGCGGCCUAUCAGCUUGUUGGUGAGGUAACGGCUCACCAAGGCUUCGACGGGUAGC